GUCUACAGCCAUCCCACCCUGAACGCACCCGAGCUUGUCUGAUCUUGGAAGCUAAGCAGAGUCGGGCCUGGUUAGUACUUGGAUGGGAGACCGCCUGGGAAUACAGGGUGCUGUAGGCU
This 119-nucleotide ribosomal RNA is filed under the name Cebus imitator (Panamanian white-faced capuchin). Lineage: Eukaryota; Metazoa; Chordata; Mammalia; Primates; Cebidae. The record is from RNAcentral.